GGGGACAUUGGGGACAUCAGUGGGGACAGCAGGGACUGAGGGGACAGUGAGGGGAGAGUGGGGAUUGGGGGGACAUUGGGGACCACCAGCGACUGAGGGGACAUUGGGGACAUCACUGGGGACACGGUGGACAUCGGCGCGGGGACAGCGCCGGGAUGGUUUUAGGGAGGAUUGAGAAAACUUCCAGAUGGAUUUGGGACAAUUUUAAGAGAUUGGGGACACCUGGAAGGAACUGGGGACACUUUGGGGACAAUUUCAGGGGAUUUUGGGACAGUUUCAGGGUGGUUUGUGACAAUUCCGGGAGGGGCUCGGGCCGUUUUAGCGACACUUUGGGGACAUUUUGGGGCCGCUCGGGGCCGACCCCGCCGUGAGGGGAGCGAAGGCCGCCAUGACACCUGGGGGGGGGGGGGUCCGACAUUCGCGCCCUUCCCGCCGCCAUCGCCGCUCGCCGCCGCUCCCUUCCCGCCCCGCCGCCUCCCUCGGUGCCGCCGCCAUCGCCCCGCGCCCUUCCCGCCGCCCGCCGCCCUCCCCGCGCUCCGAUGGCGGCGGAUCCCGCCCGGGACCUCACCAUGGCUGCAGCGUCCGCGGGGCUCUGCCGGGAGAAGAAGAAGGCGGAAGUGACGUCACGCGCACGCCGUGCGUCACCAAGAUGGCGGCGCAGACGGAGGUGGCGGCGAUGGAGGCGCCGCUGGAGGCGGAGCUGGAGGCGGAGCUGGACCUGGAGGGGGCGGAGCUGGAGGAUGUGGAUGUGCACAUCCAGGAGAACCUGGAGGACGCCCUGGUGCAGGAGGCGCUGCAGACCGGCGUGGACCUGCGCCAGUACUCGCGGCAGGUGGAGCUGGAGCUGCAGGAGGUGGAGAGGGCCUCGAUCCAGGACUGUAUCCCCCAAAAAGUGUCCCCAAAGUGUCCCCAAAGUGUCCCCAAAGUGUCCCCAAAUGUCCCCAAGGUGUCCCCAGGGUGUCCCCAAGGGCGAAAUCCCCGAAAUCCCCAAAAUUUGGCCCCAAAAUCCCCAAAAUUUGGCACCAAAUUCUCUUAAAAUGUCCCCAAAGUGUCCCCAAGUAAUGACCCCAAAUUCCCCAAAAUUGUCCCCAAAGUCCCCAGGGUGUCCCCAGGUGUCCCCAGGGUGUCCCCAGGGUGUCCCCAAAUGUCCCCAGGGUGUCCCCAAGGGUGAAAUCCCCGAAAAUCCCAAAGUUUGGCCCCAAAAUCCCAAAAUUUGGCCCCAAAGUGUCCCCAAAUCCUCUAAAAAUGACCCCAAAUUCCCCAAAAGUGUCCCCAGGAUGUCCCUAAGUGUCCUCAGGUGUCCCCAGGGUGUCCCCAAAGUGUUCCCAGAUGUCCCCAAGGUGUCCCCAGGUGUCCCCAAGGUGUCCCCAAAGUGUCCCCAGAGUGUCCCCAGGGUGUCCCUGAUUGUCCCCAAUGUCCCUGCUGUCCCCUCGGUGUCCCUGAUGUCCCCAAUGUCCCCUCAGUGUCCCCAAUGUCCCCAAUG
RNAcentral lists this long non-coding RNA (1483 nucleotides) under Serinus canaria (Common canary). RNAcentral's name for it is "lncRNA (ENSSCAG00000000956.1)". Lineage: Eukaryota; Metazoa; Chordata; Aves; Passeriformes; Fringillidae. The record is from RNAcentral.